UAGUUCAAGGUAAUUGGUCUAUGAGGU
This 27-nucleotide non-coding RNA is filed under the name Rattus norvegicus (Norway rat). The record is from RNAcentral. Lineage: Eukaryota; Metazoa; Chordata; Mammalia; Rodentia; Muridae.